UGGGUGAUGCAUUGUUGGAUGAUGAUGACGAUGAUGAUGUGGAGCUGGACCUCAUUGCUGAUGACAGUGGCGAUGACAUUGCAGCGAGUAAUCCAACUGGGGCUGGGGGUGGUUUUAGCUCUGGGACUUAGCAGUACCCUCUGCACUUUUCAUCUUUAGACUUAGAUGCCAUGAGACAGGAGGGGGUUCCUGGGGAACCCACUGGAUUUGGUGCUAGAGAUACCCAGGAGAGGAGGGAUUCUACAG
This is a non-coding RNA of Arachis ipaensis, 246 nucleotides long. The record is from RefSeq and is a predicted model, not a curated record. NCBI's taxonomy places the organism in Eukaryota, Viridiplantae, Streptophyta, Magnoliopsida, Fabales, Fabaceae.